UGUGAAUCAAAUGAAAUGCAAAUGUUGAUGAAGUUUUAUGACAAUUCUACUGUCAUGUGAGGACAAACACUUGAGUGGUGAGGAAUGAUAAAUGUUGAUCUGGUUAUUCAUAUUCUAUGCACAGGUGAUUUUGUGAGUACUGUACCAUGUCAUAUUUGUUUGAAUAUUUGAGAAUGCAUGUGAUUUUUUUCUGAUGUGC
Molecule: long non-coding RNA, 199 nt
Filed under: Vigna radiata
Lineage: Eukaryota; Viridiplantae; Streptophyta; Magnoliopsida; Fabales; Fabaceae
Description: long non-coding RNA (VRAD_LNC002442)
Source: RNAcentral